Molecule: ribosomal RNA, 255 nt
Filed under: Salmonella enterica subsp. enterica serovar Infantis
Lineage: Bacteria; Pseudomonadati; Pseudomonadota; Gammaproteobacteria; Enterobacterales; Enterobacteriaceae
Also listed under: 9 other names
Description: partial 23S ribosomal RNA
Rfam family: Bacterial large subunit ribosomal RNA
Source: RNAcentral
GGUAACAUCAAAUCGUACCCCAAACCGACACAGGUGGUCAGGUAGAGAAUACCAAGGCGCUUGAGAGAACUCGGGUGAAGGAACUAGGCAAAAUGGUGCCGUAACUUCGGGAGAAGGCACGCUGACACGUAGGUGAAGUGAUUUACUCAUGGAGCUGAAGUCAGUCGAAGAUACCAGCUGGCUGCAACUGUUUAUUAAAAACACAGCACUGUGCAAACACGAAAGUGGACGUAUACGGUGUGACGCCUGCCCGGU